RNAcentral lists this ribosomal RNA (462 nucleotides) under uncultured bacterium. RNAcentral's name for it is "partial 16S ribosomal RNA". It matches the Rfam family "Bacterial small subunit ribosomal RNA", at positions 28 to 507 of the family's 1533-position model. The record is from RNAcentral.
GAUCAACGCUGGCGGCGUACUUAACACAUGCAAGUCGAACGAAGUUUUUCUUUCGGGAGGAACUUAGUGGCGGACGGGUGAGUAACGCGUGGGUAACCUGCCCUGUACAGGGGGACAACAGCUGGAAACGGCUGCUAAUACCGCAUAAGCCCUUAGCACUGCAUGGUGCAUAGGGAAAAGGAGCAAUCCGGUACAGGAUGGACCCGCGUCUGAUUAGCCAGUUGGCAGGGUAACGGCCUACCAAAGCGACGAUCAGUAGCCGAUCUGAGAGGAUGUACGGCCACAUUGGGACUGAGACACGGCCCAGACUCCUACGGGAGGCAGCAGUGGGGAAUAUUGCACAAUGGAGGAAACUCUGAUGCAGCGACGCCGCGUGAGUGAAGAAGUAUUUCGGUAUGUAAAGCUCUAUCAGCAGGAAAGAAAAUGACGGUACCUGACUAAGAAGCACCGGCUAAAUACGUG